Molecule: long non-coding RNA, 856 nt
Organism: Hipposideros armiger (great roundleaf bat)
Lineage: Eukaryota; Metazoa; Chordata; Mammalia; Chiroptera; Hipposideridae
Exons: 3
Source: RefSeq, a predicted model, not a curated record
GGAAGCUGAUCCCCGAGGAAGGGCAGAGACAAGGCUGCCUGGUGGGUGAGCACCCACUGGAGCCACUCCACUCGCUGCGUACACCAGCCGAGCUCAGCAACUGGCAGCCCUGGCCCCACCCCCACAUCUGGCCUCUGAGCACCUGUGUCUCCUGGGCAUUUGGAGAAAUGAUCUGUGUCUGACGAGGGGCAGCUGCAUGGGACAGGGCCGCUUCCUGCCUGCCAGGCCUGCCCCCCACCCACCGGCCCUUGGAUGCAAGGGGACACCGAGGAGGGGCUGUGGCCCAGGAAGAGGCUGGUGAGGCGCAUGCCCACGGCGUUGACAGCUGUUUGUUCGGGAUGUGCCUUUCAGGGGGACACGGCAAGGGCUGCCAGACCACAGGGGCCCAGUGUGGGGGCGAAAGGCCUUGGGCAGCACCUGCCCCGUCUGCCCACUGCAGUUCAGACAGGCACGUCCUCUGGACUGGCAGGAGCCUAUGACAUCUCCCCUCGUACCUAGCAGGAGGGGACUGGGCAGGGUCCCCGGGGAGCCCUGGGCUGCAGGCUGCCCUCAGGCUGAGACCCACAACCCACCUGGCUUGUGGCCCCAGCUGUGACAAGGGACCCCUUCUCUGCCAGUCUCGAUCUGAGGGGCUGAGUGACUUUUCAGAGGCAAGUGGCCUUGUGGUCCCUGCUGGGAACCUUUUCUUCAGCCCUGCCCUCUGCCCUCUGCCCUGAAGGGUCAGCCCCCUGCAGCCUCCAAGACACUUUCGCUGCCCACAGCCCCGCUUCCAGCCGCCCCUCACGGCCCCCAGUGCUCGGUCCUUGCUGGCCUCCUCACACAGCACAAAAUGCCCCUCUGCGGUGCCACAGGACCU